GAACUCCUAGAAUGUACGUGAUUUUUACUAUUUUGAGCCAACAGAAUUGAUAAGGGAGCUUGGGUUAAUAACUGGCUUACAAGCCUGUAUUAUCAGGAAGUAAAAGAGUGAUUACAGAGCACCCACCUGUUGUUAGAACAGGUUCAAAAUCAAUAAGGGCACGGCAUUAGUGGGAUUCUU
RNAcentral lists this non-coding RNA (180 nucleotides) under Alkalihalobacillus sp. MEB130. Its description in RNAcentral is "6S RNA". It matches the Rfam family "6S / SsrS RNA". Rfam says of the family: E. coli 6S RNA was the first non coding RNA to be sequenced, but its function was unknown until recently. Lineage: Bacteria; Bacillati; Bacillota; Bacilli; Caryophanales; Bacillaceae. The record is from RNAcentral.